Long non-coding RNA from Pipra filicauda (Wire-tailed manakin), 474 nucleotides. RefSeq lists it as uncharacterized. The transcript is spliced from 3 exons. The record is from RefSeq and is a predicted model, not a curated record. NCBI's taxonomy places the organism in Eukaryota, Metazoa, Chordata, Aves, Passeriformes, Pipridae.
CCUUCCCUGCCUCUGCGGUCCCUGAUUCAUUCCCACUGCCAGCUCCAAUACCCCAGGGGCAACGGCAGGAGUCAAAAUACCUCAGAGAACUGGCAAAACCCUCCUCCUGGGCUGAGACCAUGGCAGUCCUAUGGAGAAGACGCAGCCUCAGGCUGUGGUGGGAACGCCAGGGCCCCAGAAGAGCGUGAGGAGAUUUAGCUCUCUGACCUGGGGCACCCCGCAUGCUCAAUGGUCCAAAAGGAUUUCUACCUGUUUUCACACUGCAGUAUCACUGGUACCAGUGACAGCCUCAUCAUUUACCCUGCACUGAAAGAUGGGAAAAGUUCAGUCCCUGGGCCCAGUUUUCCCAGGAGCUGGGCUAGCUCCCGAAGUUUGAUGCUGGCUUUCAUAGCAGUCCUGGGAGUACAGUGAAGGUGGGGAAAUAUCAGUAAGAAUCUGCUGCCUUCCACUAAAUAAAAAACAUAUUUGUCACUA